RNAcentral lists this ribosomal RNA (405 nucleotides) under uncultured bacterium. RNAcentral's name for it is "partial 16S ribosomal RNA". It matches the Rfam family "Bacterial small subunit ribosomal RNA", at positions 30 to 526 of the family's 1533-position model. The record is from RNAcentral.
AUUGAACGCUGGCGGCAGGCUUAACACAUGCAAGUCGAACGAGUGGCGGACGGGUGAGUAAUGCUAGGGAAUCUAGCUUAUGGUGGGGGCUAAAUACGGAAACAUGUAGCUAAUACCGCGUACCAUAGGAUGAGCCCAAGGGGGAUUAGGUAGUUGGUGAGGUAAAGGAGCACUAAGCCGACGAUCUCUCGCUGGUCUGAGAGGAUGACCAGACAUACUGGGACGGUGACACGGCCCAUGCUCCUACGUGAUGCAGCAGUGGGGAGUAUUGCGCAAUGGGGGCAACCUGACGCAGCCAGGCCGCGUGAAUGAGGAAGGCCUUCGGGUUGUAAAGUUCUUUCGGUAGCGAGGCGUUAAAUACAGAAGAAGCACCGGCUAAAUCCGUGCCAGCAGCCGCGGUAAUUC